ACAGGCAACAGAACCCCAUCUGGCACAGCAGCUUGAGACAGGGACUGUCAUGGAGGAACAAGAUCAAGACCUGCUUUAAUUGUGGAGCCCCCAGGGCAGGGUCUGAGAAAUAUAAAGGCAUUCGGCAGACAUCCAAAAGUCUGAAAGACA
This 150-nucleotide long non-coding RNA is filed under the name Fukomys damarensis (Damara mole-rat). RNAcentral's name for it is "lncRNA (ENSFDAG00000026446.1)". Lineage: Eukaryota; Metazoa; Chordata; Mammalia; Rodentia; Bathyergidae. The record is from RNAcentral.